Molecule: unclassified non-coding RNA, 240 nt
Filed under: Hevea brasiliensis (rubber tree)
Lineage: Eukaryota; Viridiplantae; Streptophyta; Magnoliopsida; Malpighiales; Euphorbiaceae
Source: RNAcentral
AUGUGAGUCAUCCCUGCUUUGUAACCCAGAAAAGCAGUCAAUCUGCAAGGUUUUGUUGGAUCAUCUUUGGGAAAUGCCUUCACUUUUCCUCUGUGGCGGGAGGCUCUCUUUCUAGGAAGAAAUCCCAAAGAGCCAUGUCGGGGGUGUUCAAAUUUGCGAUGAGACAUGCUUCAACCUCAGGAUAACAAUUACGGAAAUUGGACGGUAGUACCUCCAGAUGCGAAGAUCACAAUCAACGCA